UACGUAGGGCGCGAGCGUUGUCCGGAAUUAUUGGGCGUAAAGAGCUCGUAGGCGGCUUGUCACGUCGGGUGUGAAAGACCGGGGCUUAACUCCGGUUCUGCAUUCGAUACGGGCUAGCUAGAGUGUGGUAGGGGAGAUCGGAAUUCCUGGUGUAGCGGUGAAAUGCGCAGAUAUCAGGAGGAACACCGGUGGCGAAGGCGGAUCUCUGGGCCAUUACUGACGCUGAGGAGCGAAAGCGUGGGGAGCAAACGGG
RNAcentral lists this ribosomal RNA (253 nucleotides) under uncultured bacterium. RNAcentral's name for it is "partial 16S ribosomal RNA". It matches the Rfam family "Bacterial small subunit ribosomal RNA", at positions 524 to 776 of the family's 1533-position model. The record is from RNAcentral.